This is a non-coding RNA of Coffea arabica (coffee), 2841 nucleotides long. The record is from RefSeq and is a predicted model, not a curated record. NCBI's taxonomy places the organism in Eukaryota, Viridiplantae, Streptophyta, Magnoliopsida, Gentianales, Rubiaceae.
CUCCAUUGUACUUUUUCUACUUCUCAACAUAAAAUUCCUUUCCGGUGAGCUUUCUACUUCUUCAUAGCCAGAAGUUCGGCCAUGUCUUUCUACACACAACAAAAAAAUUGUUUGAUCAACAUAAGUAGAUAAAGAGCCGAAGGGGUGUGGUGACCUGGAGGUUUUCGUCGUCCUCUCACGUGCCACGCAUGUGGGUUAGCGGCAUUGUGUUGUUCGCGCAUAGCGCGACGGGUUCAGCUCCGUUGGCCUCUUCUCUUUCUUCUGGCAGUAACCCAUGUGCCUCCUGCUGCAUCGUCUGCCGCAUUGAUAGACUUGUUUCUCUAUUCGGCAGUAUCCAAUGCCUCUUCUUUCACCUAACAUCUCUCUCUCUUCUUCUGGACGAUGUUGCUCUGUUUCUCUUCUUACCACGCAAGGAGUGUUGAUCCUCGGUCUCUCGCGGUCUCUGGGUUGCAGUGGUAGCCGUUUGGUUCUCCUCCUUUUCCUCCGUUCGGUCAUGCAUCCUCUGUCUCUCGCUUUCUUUGUGUUGCAGUAGUCCAGAUCAGCUGCCGUCCGUUCGCGGCUCCUCCUCCUCCUCCUCCAUUGUGCCUUUUCUGCCUCUUCCUUUUCGGUGAGAAGACGGUUUUAUUCUCCUCAGCCGCCACUCCUCAAACCCCUCAAACACAGAACUACCGACAAUAACCACCAUUGUCCCUAAUAUAGGAUUCCCCCCUUCGUCACCCUCCGCUUUUUUUACCGUUUCUUCUUCUGUUUUUUUUUUUCCGUUUUUUCCUUUUUUCGCUUUUGCAUCCGUUCACUCCUCCUCCUCCUCCACCGCCACACCGUCUCCCUCUCCUUUAUCGGCUCCUUCUAUUCUACACCUAGCAUUAUGGGUUUCCCUUCUCCCACCAGCCCUAGGAUUUCCCUUCCGCCUCCCUCCAUUUCAACUUCAUUCUCGCCAGAUCCCCUCUCAGCCAUUGGAAGGGCUUUCAAAUCCGCCGCAAGCUCGUCGCCAUCAUCGGCAUCUCUCACUGCUUGUAUUGAGGCAAUUUUCAGCAACAACAAGAUGUACAAUGCGGAGAUGGCUACUGUGAUGGCAAGUCGAAGUUCAAAUUAUUGCUUGUAUGUGUUUGAAUGUCAUUGGAAACCUGGAGCUGGAAGGGACAUUGUCUACUUCGUGAAUUAAAUUGCAUUUCAUCUUAUGCCUAUAACGAUGUAAUGAAAGCUUUUGCAGAGUGUAACAAGUUUGGAAAUCUCCCAUAUGGCUUCAGAGCUAACACAUGGCUUAUUCCCCCUGUAGUGGCAUUAUCACCUUCUAUUUUUCCACCUCUUCCCACUGAGGAUGAAAGGUGGGGAGGAAAUGGAGGCGGUCUUGGCAGAGAUGGCAAAAGUGAUUUACUACCUUAUGCUAAUGAAUUUUCAUUUCUUGCUUCUAUGCCAUGCAAGAUAGCAAUGGAGAGGUAGAUUCGAGACAGAAAAGCUUUCCUUCUUCAUUGCUUGUUUGUAGAUGUUGCCAUUUGUAGAGCUAUUUCCGCUGUCCAGUUUGUAAUGCGAAUGCCAGAAUUAGCUCGUUCCGCUGUAAGCACUCAGACAAGUUGUACAGAGAGAGUAGGAGAUUUAUGUGUAUCUGUCACAAAAGAUGUUUUAGAUGCUAGCUGCAAAGUAGAUACUGAGAUUGAUGGGGCUCAGGCCACUGAUGUAGACACAGAAAAGUUAAUUGAAAGGAACCUACUGAAGGGGAUCACAGCUGAUGAAAAUACUGCUGCCCAUGACAUUGCCACUCUAGGGUUUGUUAUCAUAAGAUUUUGUGGUCAUAUUGUUACCGUAAAAGUGCAAGGGAGAGAGGAUGAAAAUUUGGGUCCUCCAUUACAAAGCCUUGAACUGCUUGCUCAGCCUGAAGGAGGAGCCAACGCCCUCAACAUAAACAGGUUCACCCACUAGAUUGUGUCAUUCAGCUGUUUAAGAAGUAAUUAAUUACGACUCUAGAUUUCUCUCUUUUCCUGUUCUCUUUGUUUAUCUGAUGCCAAGGAACUGCAAUUUAUUUGGAACUUGUAAAAUGACUUGUUAGCUUGACUUAUGGCCUUGUUGAUUUUACAUCUUGAAAUGCUUAUAUAUGUAUCCAGUCGAGCAUUAGUGAGGAACUAUGAAUCAUUGGCACAUGGAUACAACUUUUGAUUACCUCUCUCUUUUCCUUCAAAAGAAUUAUUUAUUUUUCUUUAAUUUUUUCGUUCCCCUAUAUCCCUUUUUGGCUGACACUAAUUGCCGAAUAAGCUGCAGUUUUGUGUUAAGAUUUUGAGAUUUCUUAAUGUACUGAUAAUUGAGCAGUUGGUUGUAGAGAAUAAAGAACAAACAGGUUUUGAUUCUUCUCGGUACCAUUGUCCAAAUUCUGAAAAUUUCCCGACUACAUGGCUGGCUGGGUUUUGCUGUAAGUUGAGUGCUAUUUUUGGCUGCAGAUUAAGGUUGAUGGUGCUGUUGUCACGGAUCCCAACACAAUCCUCAGAGCUGGCUCAGAACUCGUCUAUCACCGGCUUCCUUGGAAAGAGCCUCAUGCACCUUACCUCAGUUUGCUGGUGUUCGAUCAAAAAGGGAUAGAGAAGUUGUAUCCAUGGCACUUUGCAUUUUCCGUCUGAUGAUUUACCCCGCUGCAAAUUUAAUGUUCAGCAAGUUGCUGCUGUUGUUUAUCGCUUCAAGCUUUGACAAUGGACUUAUCAAGCUUUAAUAAUGAAUGUACUUCGGUUACCUCAGUUUGAUGUUCAGCUUUGAUAAUAGAUGUUCCAAUGGAAUGUACUUAUUAGCCUUUGAUGUUUAGCAAUAAAGUUGAUGCUAACUUUGGUUACAGGCCUGAAUAGCAUUUUGGAUGGUGCA